RNAcentral lists this ribosomal RNA (399 nucleotides) under Enterobacter sp. PD-P35. RNAcentral describes it as "bacterial SSU rRNA". It matches the Rfam family "Bacterial small subunit ribosomal RNA", at positions 42 to 439 of the family's 1533-position model. Lineage: Bacteria; Pseudomonadati; Pseudomonadota; Gammaproteobacteria; Enterobacterales; Enterobacteriaceae. The record is from RNAcentral.
GGAUGCGAGCUACCAUGCAGUCGACGGUAGCACAGACAGUCUUGCUCUCGGGUGACGAGUGGCGGACGGGUGAUUAAUGUCAGGGAAACUGCCUGAUGGAGGGGGAUAACUACUGGAAACGGUAACUAAUACCGCACACUGUCGCAAAACCAAAGAGGGGGACCUUCCGGCCUCUUGCCAUCCGAUGUACCCAGAUGGGAUUAGCUAGUAGGUGGGGUAACGGCUCACCUAAGCAACCAUCCCUAGCUGGUCAGAAAGGAUGACCACCCACACUGUAACUGACACACGGUCCACACUCCUACGGGAGGCAUGAGUGGGUAAUAUUGCAGAAUGAGCGCAAGCCUGAUGCAUCCCUGCCGCGUGAAUGAAGAAUGCCUUCUGGUUGUAAAGUACUUUCAG